Molecule: non-coding RNA, 54 nt
Organism: Salmo salar (Atlantic salmon)
Lineage: Eukaryota; Metazoa; Chordata; Actinopteri; Salmoniformes; Salmonidae
Source: Rfam
UUGUUCAACUGUUGUAAGUCGCUCUGGAUAAGAGCGUCUGCUAAAUGACGUAAA